AAGGAUUCCUUGCUCCCACUUUUGUGUGGGAGUAUGAUUAACCUACAGUAAAAUAAUUACAAAAUUUUCAGAUUCAACGAAGAAGAGAGGUCUGCUAGGGUAACGCCAUUUUCUCAUCUUCUUCUCUCUGGUUCGCCUACCCUCGCCGCCACAACACGCAUCGUCCGCCGCCCCUCCCUGCGUCCGCCGCCAAGAGAGGUCUGCUAGGGUAACGCCAUUUUCUCAUCUUCUUCUCUCUUCUCUCUGGUUCGCCUACCCUCGCCGCCACAACACGCAUCGUCCGCCGCCCCUCCCUGCGUCCGCCGCCAAGAGAGGUCUGCUAGGGUAACGCCAUUUUCUCAUCUUCUUCUCUCUGGUUCGCCUACCCUCGCCGCCACAACACGCAUCGUCCGCCGCCGCUCCCUGCGUCCGCCGCCACUCCCUGCGUCCGCCGCCAAGAGAGGUCUGCUAGCGUGACGCCAUUUUAUCAUCUUCUUCUCUCUGGUUCGCCUACCCUCGCCGCCACAACACGCAUCGUCCGCCGCCGCUCCCUGAUGACACUGAAAUAGGACAACUUUCCUCAACCCCACUUCUUGUUGAGGACGACAAACCCAGCAAGGAAAAAGUUUCAGGCCCUUCUUCUCGCCUUGCUGCUGCUCCAUCCGAUGUUGCCUCAUCAGUGCUAGGAAUGCCUUACAAAGCAAUUGUAAGUCUAAUAGGUACACUCAUGGAGCAAAAUGCACAGGCCUUCAACCAAAUCUCAAAAAAUAUUGCUUCUCAUAUGUCUUAAUUGGAGCUUGAUCAUUAUUUGUAUCCCGGAUAAAGGUGACGAAUUAGGGUCAAUCAUACUUCAUCUGGAUUCUUUGAGUCUUCACUCUAGCAUAUCACUAUUUGAUAACAUCAAAAGGUUCUUUGUGAUUUAAGACCAAGAGAAUUAUACUAAGAGAAAUCAGCUACUAAGAAUAAGGAUUAGGAUAGUUAGAAGCUCAAUCAUAUGAUAUAUAAACUGAAAUUAUGAAGCUGUAUUGGUUGAGUUUGAUAUAUUAGUUUGAUUUGUGCUUGAUUAUGUUGUGGCGAAUGUUUUAUAUAUAGGAUUCAGAUUGGCGGUUCAAAUUAUUGAUGAACCAAAUUAAGAUGAAUUGAGAUGAACUUUGGCUAAGAAAUUGAUUGUGACUAUGCCUUUAAGCAUUAAAGUUUAUCAGCUGCAUUUUUUCUAUCAAUGCAUUUUAGUUACUAAGAAUAUUAAGCAUUUCUAUUUCAGUUUUUCCAAUGAAUUGAAAUAAUGCCAAA
This is a non-coding RNA of Arachis ipaensis, 1269 nucleotides long. The record is from RefSeq and is a predicted model, not a curated record. Lineage: Eukaryota; Viridiplantae; Streptophyta; Magnoliopsida; Fabales; Fabaceae.